RNAcentral lists this ribosomal RNA (860 nucleotides) under uncultured Bacteroidota bacterium. RNAcentral's name for it is "bacterial SSU rRNA". It matches the Rfam family "Bacterial small subunit ribosomal RNA", at positions 108 to 973 of the family's 1533-position model. Lineage: Bacteria; Pseudomonadati; Bacteroidota. The record is from RNAcentral.
GCGUAACGCGUAUGGAACCUGCCCUUAUCUGGGGGAUAACUCGGGGAAACUCGAGCUAAUACCGCAUAAGAUAGUAGAAUGGCAUCAUUCAGCUAUUAAAGAUUUAUUGGAUAAGGAUGGCCAUGCGUAAGAUUAGAUAGUUGGCGAGGUAACGGCUCACCAAGUCUACGAUCUUUAGGGGCUCUGAGAGGAGAAUCCCCCACACUGGCACUGAGAUACGGGCCAGACUCCUACGGGAGGCAGCAGUAGGGAAUAUUGGGCAAUGGGCGGAAGCCUGACCCAGCCACGCCGCGUGCAGGAAGACGGCCCUCUGGUUGUAAACUGCUUUUAACUGGGAAGAAAAGAGGCCUUGCGAGGCAAGUUGACGGUACCAGUUGAAUAAGCCACGGCUAACUACGUGCCAGCAGCCGCGGUAAUACGUAGGUGGCGAGCGUUAUCCGGAUUUAUUGGGUUUAAAGGGAGCGUAGGCGGCUGAUUAAGUCAGCGGUGAAAGGUAGCAGCUUAACUGUUUUACAUGCCGUUGAUACUGGUUAGCUUGAGUUGACAGAAGGCAGAUAGAAUUCCUGAUGUAGCGGUGAAAUGCUUAGAUAUCAGGAGGAAUACCGAUUGCGAAGGCAGUCUGCUGCAGUCACACUGACGCUGAGGCUCGAAGGUGCGGGGAUCAAACAGGAUUAGAUACCCUGGUAGUCCGCACAGUAAACGAUGAUUACUAGAUGUUGGCCAAGCCAGUGUCCAAGGGAAACCGAUAAGUAAUCCACCUGGGGAGUACGCCGGCAACGGUGAAACUCAAAGGAAUUGACGGGGGUCCGCACAACGGUGGGAGCAUGUGGGUUUAAUUCGAUGAUACGCGAGGAACCUUA